This 974-nucleotide long non-coding RNA is filed under the name Homo sapiens (human). RNAcentral's name for it is "non-protein coding lnc-STX2-7:2". Lineage: Eukaryota; Metazoa; Chordata; Mammalia; Primates; Hominidae. The record is from RNAcentral.
CCCGCGGGUCCCCAGCUCCCCCAGCCCCGCCGCGGGCCGCACCUCUCUGGACGGCGCUGUCAGGAGUAGGAGUUCAGCCCCAGCGCAUCCGCGCCAGGACCCGGGCUCUGUGGCCACUGAGUGCAGAACACGCCGAGCUUCGGAGGUCUGGGAGUUCCAAGUGGAAUUUGAAUUUUUAAUCUAAUUGUCUGAUUCGUGAACUCGGAAGCUGACGUCACGCCCAGACGUCCCAAGGUAUGAGCUGUAGAUACGCACGUGAGCGCUGGUGGGAGACGCCAGGCUGGGAUUUCCGCUCGAUCUGGGAAUGAGCAAUGCAACCUAAUGACACCCAGAGCUCCUGAAUCACCCGAGGAAAAUGACGAGAGACUCCCUCCGGUGGGAACGUCUCCUAGAAACAAGGCCUAAGAUGGGGCGACAACAGCCCCACAGCUGUGUCCAGAUGCAGGGAGCACUCGCCUGUGCUGUGAGGGACGGCCGGUGUCAUCGUUGGAGCUUCCUAAGAGUCCCAGAGGCUGAUGCACCUCCCAGACUCUCCUCGGCCCGGCUCCCUGGGCCCUGCUCCAGGGGCUUCAUUGCUCCCUGCCCCGGGUCACCCCUCGGCUCACCGUCUCUCAGGUGUGGAAUAUCCUGCUCCAAUCAAAGCCAUGUCACCUGCGUUGUCCAGUGAAACAUCAGUGGACAGGCGCUGCCCGGGCUCCAGGGAGCUCCUCACUGAGGCUCACUCCCUGUGCCUCUGCCAUCAGCACAGGGGGACAUGCCUGGCUGCCUGUGGGACCAGGGAGGACGCGCGGUGCGGGAGCAGAGCCAGCCACACUGCCGCUGCUGCACUGUUCAUCUGAGUGGCGCAAGGUUAUGUGUUUCAGCUGCGAGUUUUUCAAAUUGUUGCAAAUCUUCAAACAUUUUUCCAACAAAUUUACUGAAAAAAAUCCACAUAUAAGUGGCACCCCCACCAGUUUAAACCUGUGUUGUUCAAG